UACGUAGGUGGCAAGCAUUGCUCGGAUUUAUUGGGCGUAAAGCGCGCGUAGGUGUCUUUGUAAGUCCAUCAUUAAAGGUCUCUGCUCAACGGAGAAGAUGUGAUGGAGACUACAAGGAUUUGAGAAAAGUAGAGGUAAGCGGAACUUGUGGAGUAGGAGUGAAAUCCGUUGAUAUCACAAGGAACACCAAUGGCGAAGGCGGCCACCUGGACAGGUAUUGACGCUGAGGUGCGAAAGUGUGGGGAGCAAA
RNAcentral lists this ribosomal RNA (250 nucleotides) under uncultured bacterium. Its description in RNAcentral is "partial 16S ribosomal RNA". It matches the Rfam family "Bacterial small subunit ribosomal RNA", at positions 524 to 772 of the family's 1533-position model. The record is from RNAcentral.